GGACAACCUGCCCUGAGGACUGGAAUAAUCCCGGGAAACUGGGGGUAAUUCCAGAUAUGUCAGAACUCCUGGAAUGGGUUCUGGCAGAAAGGCUCCGGCGCCUCAGGAUGGGUCUGCGGCCUAUCAGGGUAGUAGUGGGUGUAAUGUACCUACUAGCCUACGACGGGUACGGGUUGUGAGAGCAAGAGCCCGGAGAUGGAUUCUGAGACAUGAAUCCAGGCCCUACGGGGUGCAGCAGGCGCGAAAACUUUACAAUGCGGGCAACCGCGAUAAGGGGACCUCGAGUGCUGGGUUACAAACCUGGCUGUUGGGCUGCCUAAAAAGCAGUCUAUAGCAAGGGCCGGGCAAGACCGGUGCCAGCCGCCGCGGUAACACCGGCGGCUCGAGUGGUAACCGCUAUUAUUGGGUCUAAAGGGUCUGUAGCCGGCCGACUAAGUCUCUUGGGAAAUCUGGCAUCUCAAGUGUCAGGCUGCCAGGGGAUACUGGUCGGCUUGGGACCGGGAGAGGUGAGAGGUACCUCGGGGGUAGGGGUGAAAUCUUGUAAUCCUCGAGGGACCACCAGUGGCGAAGGCGUCUCACCAGAACGGAUCCGACGGCAAGGGACGAAAGCUAGGGGCACGAACCGGAUUAGAUACCCGGGUAGUCCUAGCCGUAAACGAUACUCGCUAGGUGUCGGCCACGGUGCGACCGUGGUCGGUGCCGUAGGGAAGCCGUGAAGCGAGCCACCUGGGAAGUACGGCCGCAAGGCUGAAACU
RNAcentral lists this ribosomal RNA (755 nucleotides) under Methanosaeta sp. enrichment culture. Its description in RNAcentral is "bacterial SSU rRNA". It matches the Rfam family "Archaeal small subunit ribosomal RNA", at positions 102 to 856 of the family's 1478-position model. The record is from RNAcentral. Lineage: Archaea; Methanobacteriati; Methanobacteriota; Methanomicrobia; Methanotrichales; Methanotrichaceae.